Molecule: small nucleolar RNA, 142 nt
Organism: Tachyglossus aculeatus (Australian echidna)
Lineage: Eukaryota; Metazoa; Chordata; Mammalia; Monotremata; Tachyglossidae
Source: RefSeq, a predicted model, not a curated record
CACCUCUCAGAGUCACACCUGGAGAGUUUCCAGUACUCUACCAGUCUUGACUAUGGGAGGGAGAGUCAAGCAGAGGCAUAUCCGUUCCAUUCCUAGCUUGGGCAGUGGCUAGCAAAUGGAAGGCCAUCUACUUGCUACAAAU